Long non-coding RNA from Haplochromis burtoni (Burton's mouthbrooder), 460 nucleotides. RefSeq lists it as uncharacterized. The transcript has 2 exons. NCBI's taxonomy places the organism in Eukaryota, Metazoa, Chordata, Actinopteri, Cichliformes, Cichlidae. The record is from RefSeq and is a predicted model, not a curated record.
AAACGGAGCGUGUUGUGUGUGACGUCUUCUUUUGCGCAUGUCGGCCCAUUUGAGGGCCGUGUACCAUUCACACUAGAGCACGUUUGCUGUCACAUUUUAUUUGUAGUGUAAACAACCAGACAAAAAAAAUUAGAUUUGAUCAAAACAUCGGAAUUGAGCAUUAAGACUUGCAGUGUGAACAUAGCCUUAGAGUUUUUGAACAGUCAUUUUUAACAUGAGUUUGGAUGUAAUGUGUUAGAACUACCAGCAGGUGGGGAUAAGAGACCUUUAAGGUGUUUGGUGCCACACUCCACCUUCAGGUUUAAAACUAGUGUUAAUGGAGGGAGUUUGAAGGUUGAGUUUGUUCCACGACUGCAUUUCACUCACUGCCUCUGUUUGUAUCUCUGUCACUGCAGGACCAACAUGGAGCGAGAAGUCAGCGCUCUCAGGAGGCCGACAAACCUCAACCAAGAAAGAGAGA